Molecule: long non-coding RNA, 223 nt
Filed under: Pan paniscus (pygmy chimpanzee)
Lineage: Eukaryota; Metazoa; Chordata; Mammalia; Primates; Hominidae
Description: lncRNA (ENSPPAG00000044583.1)
Source: RNAcentral
ACAGAGGGAGCCGGCUCCGGUCUCGGCCAGCCCAGAGAGGGCCUCCCAUAGUGCAGCGGGGGGCUGAAGGUCUCCUCAAGCGCUGCCAGAGUGGGCGUCGAGGCUGAGGAGACACCGAGAGCGAGUGAGGGCUGCCAGCAUGCUGUCACCUCUCAGUAAUUUGAGAAAAUUUCUGUUUUCUAUGGGUAAUCUGUAUCUCUGGCCUCCUUGUCUGACUGAGUGG